GCAAGUUUCUGGUUGAAUUGUUCACAGCGCCAUGUUUCCAUAGACUUAACAUGUGGGGCCCUAAUUUGUGGCUGAGGAAAAUUUGGGUUAGCAAAUUUGGGGGUAAGAAAACUGACGGCUUAAGUGGAGAAGAGGUGCAAGAGUCUGACACACUGCCAAAAGCAACAUAUGCAAAUUCACAUACACAAGCAGAAAAUGCAUUAACCUUAUAAGGACAAGCUCAUAAUGAUUACUGCAUAGACAUUGAUUAUACUUGGUUAAGAACACAAACAUGCGCAAUAAAACACAGCUUGCUGUUUGUAUGAGUGAUAGAAUGGGGUGAAUGUUUAAUGAAAACAUUUGAGUAUGUUGAAUCUAGGCAUGUUAAAGUGCAUAAAGGGGGUGGAAUUAUGUGGUGACAAUACUUGUGUCUUUAGGGGGUUUGAGGUUGUAGUGGUGAUGGGCUGAUUUUGUCAGCUAGGGUGGAAUUGUUGUUUUUUUUUUGUUUUUAAUAGAGGGAGUUUUAGGAAACAUGGUCAUGUUUGAAAGGGGCCCAUUAUUUUUGUAACAGUGCACUUAGAAAAACCUGUCAGGUGAUUUUGUUUUGUGUUCUCAUGAGCUAAUAAUCAGCUCUCUUUUUCUCAUUUUUGUUUUAAGCAGGCCUGCAACAGUGAAUAACAGCACAAAUUCUCGGGAAGAGCAAAUAUAAGGUGGGCUUUCCAGAUUACAACUGGCUGAGGAGAAAGCUAUUCAAUCCAGUCCAAAACCUAAGGGACUAUUUUCCUAUGGAAAAUAAAAAUGAAGGAGCUCAGUUUGAAUAAAUCUGGACAAACAAUUUGCUUUUACUAGAGAAAGUUUCUGUUUUAUUGAGUGGGGUUAUAUUAUGGGGAUUAUAGUAUAUUGUUGGGAGAAUCCCAAAUGCUAAAGGGGGUAGGUGUCAAAAUAGAGGAAAUCUGCCAAAUGUUAAAGGGGAAAAUUAGUGAGGGUUGAAGAAGGAGAAUAGGUUUGAUUUCUUUUUGAUUUCUAGAAGUAGUGGCUAUAAUGUAGGCGUACACAUACAGUUAUUACAUAGAUUUAUUUUUGGGAUAAAGGGGAGAGCUUAGAAAUAGAGAUGAUUUCUUUUUAAUAUACAUAUUGCAUUUUGUGCCUUUAAAGGAGUUGUGGCUCAAUUCAUCUCUUGAGGGUCACGAGCCUUUGGCUAGCGCUAUGAUUGGCCAAUCUACUGUGAGGAGGAUAUGAGUCAUUGUAGGAUUGCACACGCUUACAGACACAGAGUCCAGAAACACACAUGAGAGCAUUGAUUCCAGGCAAAAGGCCUCAAAUUUGUUUAGCUUUUAACUGAACUUAAAGACGGACCAAAGAGGAAGGAAAGCAUAGAUUUUGGUUAAGUCUGAUAAACUAGAAUUAGAAUGUAUUGUUACAUUAAAAGGAGCCAAAUGAAAUAAAAAGAGUUAUAUCAAAACAGGUUAUAACAUAGGAAAUGUGAGGUUAAAGUGAAGUUAGUGUUAACACACAGGAGUUGUUUCUGGGUAACAUUUAGCUAUGAUGAAAUUUAGGCAGGAGUAAUUGCUUAUAUGCUUCGACUCAAUUGAUUAAAGUGGAAAUGGGGUUUUGUUCCCUUUGCAGUAGAUCUCGGGACCACAAGAGAGGGUCAGAGCGAGGACACAACCUAUGGCGCUAAAUAAUAAAACAUCAUCACCAUUGCAUUAAUAAUAUAAUUGACAGCACAGAUAUAAUUUAAUUCGGAGGUUUAAACAGGGUGUGUUUUUCAGAAAGACUAAGGUGCAUUCUUUUACUAAGCUCUUAGUAGGGGUUCUUGAUGAAAACAUUUAUUCAGCCUCUGGUCGGGUAAAAGGUCAGAAGGGCAACGGGUGAAUUGAUUGGGAGAGUAUUUGAGGACGACACACACACAUGCAAUGGAGUAAUGAAAGUCAGUAGGAUUAGCUCAUUAGGAUCAAACACAAUUUUAAGUAGGUAAUACUGUUACCAUCAUCAUGUCUGGUUUAUUGAGUGGGUUGAGAACUGACACAUAGACUACUUAAUUAGUAUUUUGGGGAACAUGAUAGCAGGGGUGAACAGAAUCCUGCAGCCAGAGUUUAAAUGAGUGAAAUUAAAUGAGUGAAACUGGCAGAUUUUUGUUUUGUUUUUUGUUUUGUUUUUGUUUUUUAAGUACGGGUGUUUUCUCACCUAUAAGAGAAAGAAUAUUCUGUGACAAGUCCUAAGACCGGGCUUCUGUAUUUUUAUUUUCUUUUGUUUUUCAGUUUUAUUUGUCAUUUUUCAUUUUAUUUUUAUUUUUUGAACAGUGCACUGAUUUUUGUUUGUGAAUUUCUUUUCUUUAAGCAGAUCUGCACGUCGGGAAUUAAAAGCGCUGUACGACACGUCGUCGAGGAAAUUGUUGCAAGUGAGUUUCUCCACAUUAAAAUGGGCUCAGGAGAAAGCCACUUAUCUGGGACAAUUAGAAAGUAAGUUCCUGUCCAAAAAGGAUUCAGCGAUGUAAUCCAAGCUAAAGUUCUUCGUUUUCUUUUUGAAAUGACGUCAUUUUGCUGAGUGUGGAAACUAAAUGCGACGACAGGUUUCACUAUCAGCAAAGAAAUGGAUGAAUGGAUGAAUGGAUGAAAGACUGGAAAUACAACAAACAAACGGACUGACUGGUAAAAGAUGACAAGACUUGACCACGACUCAAGGUUAACCACCUCCACCUAGAUAGGAUAAAAGGGUGGAUGAAUUUAUGUGUUUCUUUCUACAGGAGCAGAAAGAGGACAGCGACAUCUGAGGUUGCAUGACGAUUUAACUUUUAAAUGUUACUUUCUGUGUAUGUGAAAGUGUGUACACACCUGCGCAGCGUUAUCAACCACUUGUCAACUUAAAAAGAGAGUGUUGUUUGCCAAUAAUGUUUUCCUACUACAGGAUUUCUGGGCUUAUGUGUGAAGAAACGGUGUUUAUGGGUUAUGAUUUGGUAAGGCGAUUAAACGGCGGGAGACACAUCCUGUCUUGAAAACAGUGUGAUUCUUUUUACAGGAAAUCUUUUAUAGCAUCUCUGGUAGGUAGAUGGCUGACCGCGGUCAAUGUGCUGCUAAUGUUUGCUUUGCUGUUGUUAAGAAUGCGUGAGGAGGGUGCAGUAGAAAACAGACAAGUGACAUGAAAACAAAAGAUUAAUAGUAAAACAAGUAAUAAUAACAAAUAACAAAUUUGGGGACAGUUUGUCGUAGAGCUCACUAACUGGCCAUUAGGGGGCUCUGAGUGAUAAACAAGGGGAGUAACAUUGCCCAAAGUGUGAAUAAAACAGAUUGCGGCAAUAGUAGUGAUUUAAUGAUUGGAGAGAAUCUGAACACGAUACUUGUCUGUUGUGCUGAAUCUUUUAUUACUCUUAUGAUUUACAGGGGGUAAAUAAGCUGUCUGAUUUAACAGAUUUGCUUUUUAGGUGAACUGGGAGUUAAAGGAGGUUAACAGGUAGCUGCUGACUAAUGUUUUUACACAGGGUUACUGGUUGGCGGGAGAGUGUGUUAGAGAGGAUGUGUAAUGUUCUUGUGCAGUUUGCAGUAGGGAGAUUGCAAAUACAACUAGAACUAUUAACGGAGACUAAUUAAAACUAACCUGAAACUGAGGAGGUUCUAUAUAAGGAAGAAUUAAAACAGAUAUAAAAUGCAUCCGAUCUUUAAUUGCAGGUGUGACCAUGAAGAUUUUUGGUACAUAUUGCAGGUUGUUGCUCAUUAUAGAAUUGUGCUCAGCUUCAUAAGGCAAAAAGCUAUAGCAGGGGUCUAUGAUUUCGUUUGUGUUUUAAUGAUUUAGGUAUGGCAAAAUUAAAGGUUUUUGGACAAUUUAGGGAACCAGUGAGAAGCAUGAUUAGAUGAUCAGAAACUGAGUACUAGACUUAAACUUAAGUUAGAAUUAAAAAUGCCCAAUUGGUUGGAGGUCUGUUGGUCACUUUUAUACACACAUAGGCAUGGCAUAGGAUUGGAAUAAACAAAGUCAACAACAUUAGGUUAGGAGAGCCAGCGAGGGAGAUGUGUUGGUUUUCUGUCUCUUGCAGAGAAAGGAACAGACACCAGAUGAGGUCACAGAUAGGCGAGGAUCCUUCGCAGCAGAGAUAGACACAGUGACUGCCGAGACAUCAACUGGGUCCAAGGGUCAUGGCGUUUGGGCUCCAGGUAGUCACCUCAAAAGGAUGGAUCCCAUAAACACAGCAGUAACCAUGAAGGGGUUGGCGGAAAUCCAGGAACACCAGACCAACGAGGUUCGAGAGGCUCUGGGGCUAAAGGGGGACACAUUCCGGUUUCUUUUCCUGGAGGUUCGAGGACCUGAGGAUACACAGAUCGUUGUUCGAAAUCGGGGCAGAAUAAUCCCCUGAUCUGUGCCACGACUGAAGGGUUGUCUAACCCCUGAGGUUGAAGAAUGAAGAGGAGCGUCGCGCCAAGCAGCAUUUGAUUAAUUCAUUCCAGGCUCCUAAUAGGCUAGGGCUCUAGACUGAAGUAAUUGAUAGUUUAAAGGAAUCGUAAUCGUUUUGUAUGUUAACCACAUAUUUUUAUACUCAGAAGUUUAUACUCUCAUUCUUAUAACCUCAUAUUUUUAUCACGAAGUUUAAAGUAAAAGUAAAAGAGCCUGGGAACAGGGAUCAUGAAACUGUGGGGAAAAUUAGAAACUAACGAGGAUGUUGGGGUUGAUAAGUGCUGUAACGUGUUGGUUGAAGUUGUGCUGGCAAAGCCAGCACAAAAAGGGGGAGUUAUUGAGGAAAACAUCUUAUUUUACUGUCACUGUAUAUCAUUCAUAAAGCACCGUCAUUAUUUCAUUAUUACUUCAUUAGUCCGCAUCAGCUUAUCAUCAAUAUUAUCAUGUAUCACAAUACUCUAUCAGUUAGUAGAGCACCAGUUUAGCUGGGGGUCCAGUCAGCCCGCAGUAAAGUCAUAUGAGGACACGGUGAACUUUUGUUGGCCGGAAACGGACACUCUCACACAACUACACAUUCUACACACUAUUGGUUAUGUUCCCAGAAUACAGAGGAGUGGAAACAUCUGGAACAUGUUGUUGUUCUUAGCCAUACAAGGACAUAGAAGGGUGAACUGACUGAUACUUAUCAGGUGACUUGACGUCAUCAUUGCAAUAAAAACCUUGUGUUAGGGUUGUUCUUGGGAGAUUUGCUCGUGAAGACUUGUGACGCUCAUCUUCCCCAUAUGUACAUAUGUAUAAUAAAAUCACUAUUCUGACAUCUACUGAGAGACCAUGCAGUCGUUUGUCUCUUCCUCAAAUUCGAACCUUGACACCAACC
Molecule: long non-coding RNA, 5242 nt
Organism: Astatotilapia calliptera (eastern happy)
Lineage: Eukaryota; Metazoa; Chordata; Actinopteri; Cichliformes; Cichlidae
Source: Ensembl